CAAUAGCGUAUAUUAAAGCUGUUGCGGUUAAAAAGCUCGUAGUUGGAUUUCUGUCAAGGACAACUGGUCCGCCCCUCGGGUGAGCGCAUAGUUUGGUCUUGGCAUCUUGUUGGAAACUGUUGCUGCACUUGGUUGUGUGGCGCAGUGUCCAGCACUUUCACUUUGAGGAAAUUGGAGUGUUUCAAGCAGGCACAUGCCUUUGGACACAGUAGCAUGGAAUAAUUAGAUUGGGCUUUUGCUCCAACUUGUCGGUUUCUGGAGCUGAGGUGAGAAUUAAUGGGGAUUGUUGGGGGCAUCCGAAUUUAGCCGUCAGAGGUGAAAUUCUUGGAUCUGCUAAAGACGGACAACUGCGAAAGCGUUUGCCCAGGAUGUUUUCAUUGA
RNAcentral lists this ribosomal RNA (381 nucleotides) under uncultured eukaryote. Its description in RNAcentral is "partial 18S ribosomal RNA". It matches the Rfam family "Eukaryotic small subunit ribosomal RNA", at positions 592 to 976 of the family's 1831-position model. The record is from RNAcentral.